This 253-nucleotide ribosomal RNA is filed under the name uncultured bacterium. RNAcentral describes it as "partial 16S ribosomal RNA". It matches the Rfam family "Bacterial small subunit ribosomal RNA", at positions 524 to 776 of the family's 1533-position model. The record is from RNAcentral.
UACAGAGGGGGCAAGCGUUGUUCGGAAUUACUGGGCGUAAAGGGCGCGUAGGCGGCCGCCUAAGUCAGACGUGAAAUCCCUCGGCUCAACCGGGGAACUGCGUCUGAUACUGGGUGGCUUGAAUCCGGGAGAGGGAUGCGGAAUUCCAGGUGUAGCGGUGAAAUGCGCAGAUAUCAGGAGGAACACCGGUGGCGAAGGCGGGUCUCUGGGCAGUAACUGACGCUGAGGAGCGAAAGCGUGGGGAGCGAACAGG